Long non-coding RNA from Spinacia oleracea (spinach), 527 nucleotides. RefSeq lists it as uncharacterized. Lineage: Eukaryota; Viridiplantae; Streptophyta; Magnoliopsida; Caryophyllales; Amaranthaceae. The record is from RefSeq and is a predicted model, not a curated record. The transcript has 2 exons.
UUGUUGUCCCAACCUGCUUCUUCCUCUUGUUGUGAAAGAAAUUGGAGCUCUUUCUCCAAUAUCCAAAGCAUAAAAAGGAAUAGAUUGCUUUCCAGUAGAGCCGAAGCCCUUGUGUACGUUCAUACCGAUUUGCGAAUGAUUUUCAAGAAGAAAGAGGAGUACAAAUCGGGGCCGUCAAGCUACUGGGAUGUGGGUGGAGAUGCUCUUCUCGUUGAUAAUGAGCAUAAUGAAGCAUUUGAGAAUCUAUUUCCGGAUGAUCCUAAUAUAGAAGCCACAUUCUUCAAGGAGGAAGAACAGGGUUGACCGUUGGAGGCUUGGACUUAUGAAGUGGAGAUGCUAGAGCAGUGAAGGAAGUUGGAGUAGGGAAGCUGCUUAUGCUAUUUUCUGAGUUUUAAUUCUAUAGUUUCUUUAUGUUUUUCUGUUGGAUUGAAUAUUUGGGAAUAUUAAAGUGUUGUACUCCAGAUGAUUGGAUUAUUUUGUGACUUUGAAGUGAUGUUUUGGAGUAAUAUGAUUGGAUUAUUUUGUGA